CUUUCGGCCAGCGGGACGGCAUCCGAGGUGGGCUAGGCUCGGGCCCGUGGCGGGUGCGGGGGUGGGAGG
Molecule: microRNA precursor, 69 nt
Organism: Gorilla gorilla gorilla (western lowland gorilla)
Lineage: Eukaryota; Metazoa; Chordata; Mammalia; Primates; Hominidae
Source: Ensembl